UGUUUUGUCUGGGCAGGAUCCUUCACAUUCUCCUAGAAUUUUGCUUUAGGUAGGGAUACUUUGGUGACAAUUCUAAUGGAAGUAUAUGAUGUCACAAAGGAAAUGAUAUGCCCCAGUCAGAUGUUGUAAAAAAAUGGCAUGAUUUGAGGGAUGCAGCUGUGUUGGGGAAUUAACGCCUGAUCAGGAACAAACCACACUAAUGGGUGCUGCUGUCUAAGAAUGAUUCAUCUUUUUAGUGGUCCCUAGAGAAAAGCUGAGAGGAGCACUCAUAUGCAGGCCUACCAGAAGACUAAUACCUCACAGGAGUAGCAAGGACUUACGAACAGGUUAUCGGAUCAAUGGCUUGCAAGUACAGUUUCUUCUCUAACUUCGUGAUCGAAAAGGAUCUUCUUAAAUCAAGCUCCAUUCCACCUUAGCUCAGGCAAGCAAACUGAUGAGAGCAUUCAGUUCCUCGGAAGCCAUGCAUUGCAAUCUUACCUCCCACUGAGACUCUGAAACAAUAUAUAGUAUGCUACAAGUGUGACCUUGUCAGACCUCAUCAAGCUCUGGAAGUAAAGAUUACCCAUUUUCAAACCCAA
Hemicordylus capensis (graceful crag lizard) is the source of this 578-nucleotide long non-coding RNA. RefSeq lists it as uncharacterized. Lineage: Eukaryota; Metazoa; Chordata; Lepidosauria; Squamata; Cordylidae. The transcript has 3 exons. The record is from RefSeq and is a predicted model, not a curated record.